CUUGACACUGAACAUUGAGCCUUGAUGUGUAGGAUAGGUGGGAGGCUUUGAAGCGUGGACGCCAGUCUGCGUGGAGCCAACCUUGAAAUACCACCCUUUAAUGUUUGAUGUUCUAACGUUGGCCCCUUAUCGGGGUUGCGGACAGUGUCUGGUGGGUAGUUUGACUGGGGCGGUCUCCUCCCAAAGCGUAACGGAGGAGCACGAAGGUUAGCUAAUCCUGGUCGGACAUCAGGAGGUUAGUGCAAUGGCAUAAGC
RNAcentral lists this ribosomal RNA (255 nucleotides) under Klebsiella quasipneumoniae subsp. similipneumoniae. RNAcentral describes it as "partial 23S ribosomal RNA". It matches the Rfam family "Bacterial large subunit ribosomal RNA", at positions 2110 to 2364 of the family's 2925-position model. RNAcentral also lists the same sequence under 1 other name. The record is from RNAcentral. Lineage: Bacteria; Pseudomonadati; Pseudomonadota; Gammaproteobacteria; Enterobacterales; Enterobacteriaceae.